Molecule: long non-coding RNA, 1507 nt
Filed under: Mastacembelus armatus (zig-zag eel)
Lineage: Eukaryota; Metazoa; Chordata; Actinopteri; Synbranchiformes; Mastacembelidae
Description: lncRNA (ENSMAMG00000026997.1)
Source: RNAcentral
CGCUGGACUUCAAGAGCUGCUGUGACAACAUCUGGAUAAAUAUAAAGUGUUUGACUAUAACUUCAUUCACCAAAGAACAAACCACUGGAGGACGUGAUUUAUUUAUGACUCCAGUUCACUCAUAUUUACAAUGAACGUCUGAUUUGUUUUUCUAUCAGGGUAAACUUGGUGACUAACAAGGAGAAAAGCUCUGUGGUUCAUUUUCCCCCAAGUGAAAGUGAAAGUACCACGUAUGGCAGAUGGCAGGGCAUAGAGAAACGGGACAUAAUCAGGAUUUAUGGUCACAGAUGGAACAAAAAAAAAAAAAAACGCAUUUCUGAUGAUCUAAUCAUGUUUAUAUAAAGUUUUUUUUUACCUUUUACUGUAGAUACUGAGCUCUGCCAAGGCCACACCCAAACACAUGUUCUAAUCUUCUGCUUCCUGAAAGCGCCAUUGGAAGAAAUCUGUCCAGCUGCAUCUACGACAAAAGAGGAUCUUAACCAACAAAAGUCAACACUUUUGUAAGAUUAACCUUCUACAACAACAGAAGCUCUAAUCAGGCCCGGUUGGACUAGAGGUGAGGAUGUCUCAGACUUCAAAGAAAAGAUGGAAAGAAACCCUGAUCUCAAUCCUGGAGAACUUGACUCCACCACAGUUCAAAAAGAUGCUGAACCUUCUGGACAAAAUCCCUCAAGGUUUAAAGAAUAUGAGACUUAAAGUCGAGGCAGCCCAGAGAAUCCUCGAGACCUAUGGGGACAAAGAGUCCAUCCGUGAAAUAAAUGAAGUAAUGAAAAAGAUCCCUCGGAACGAUGCUGCAAUCCAGGACCUGCUGGCUCCUUUUGUGAGAAAAGUGAAGAGCAAACCCCAGAAAAAGAAGCAAGAGGAGAAGAGAGAAACCAACAAGCGUUUCCAGAAACAAAGCAUCCGUGCUGUGGUAUCCAGGGGUCAACUUCCUGACACCAAAUGCAUCAUUGGGAAAGUUUGUAAGAAAUCAGAACUUCGUACAUAUAGAACCCAAAAAAAUGAGGAAAAGUUCUUCUUCCACCUGGGGGUUGCUGAUAAAACAGCCAGUGUUAAGGUGAUGGUGUAUGGAAACCAGCGCUUUGCAACCAUCACAGAAGGGACAUGCUACUCUUUCAGAAAAGUCCUGGUGGAGGGAAACAUGAUCAAGGUCACCAGAUUGAGCUAUGUGGUGAAGACCAGAUCAGUUCAACUCCCACCAGAGCUGGAGAUGGAAGCUCAGAGUCUCAUUUCCCAGCAGGCCCAGGCGGCACAAACAGCUGCUGACACGGUUCAGAACGUCCAGAUUCGCAUCACGAGAAUCACAAAAUCCAACAAGAAGUACACUCACCUGGAGGCAGAGCUCAACCAGCAGCAUCUAAACCUUCAGGUGACACAUCUACGUCUGGCAAAGGCCCUCGGCUUCACACUGGGGGAGGAUUUUGGACAGAUGCUCCAGAACCAAAUACCGUUCUCAGCAGAUGUAAAAAUACAAGGAAAAAUAAUUAAAGACAUUGAAAAGCUGUAA